GCUUGUCUCAAAGAUUAAGCCAUGCAUGUCUAAGUAUAAACAACUUUGUACUGUGAAACUGCGAAUGGCUCAUUAUAUCAGUUAUAGUCUACUCGAUAGUACCUUACUACUUGGAUAACCGUAGUAAUUCUAGAGCUAAUACAUGCGCCAAGUCCCGUCUUACGUCGGGAUGUAUUUAUUAGAUUUCAAUCAACACUUUUUGCUGACUCAUGAUAACUUAGCGGAUCGCAGAGGCCUCGCGCCGGCGACAAAUCAUUCAAGUUUCUGCCCUAUCAGCUUUCGAUGGUAGUGUAUUGGACUACCAUGGCAUUCACGGGUAACGGAGGAUUAGGGUUCGAUUCCGGAGAGGGAGCCUGAGAAAUGGCUACCACAUCCAAGGAAGGCAGCAGG
RNAcentral lists this ribosomal RNA (390 nucleotides) under uncultured marine stramenopile. Its description in RNAcentral is "partial small subunit ribosomal RNA". It matches the Rfam family "Eukaryotic small subunit ribosomal RNA", at positions 30 to 432 of the family's 1831-position model. The record is from RNAcentral.